GAGUAAUGUGACUCGAGACCAAAAUCAACGAUUACAAUUAAUUCCUGGAAAUUAUACCAAGACCACUUUUACGUUUUUGGAGACUUAUUGAUUCAAGUAAAGGUUGCAGAGUUUAAGGCUAUGACAGGUUUUAUAUCAACAAUCUUUAAAACUACAAAAAAGGGUAUACUGAAUUGAUGAAUGGUUAUUUUGUACAAUUUCAAUAUAUAAAAUCCAGAUAACGAUAUUUUUGGGUAUUUUAGCCCUUGUUAGAACUGGUUCCUCUGCAACUUAUUUCACCCCUGAAACUACGCCGUCAUCAAUAUACUCACAAGUCUACAGUUUGACCAAUAAUAAAGCAUUAGUUGGACCUGCCCCGAUAUAUGAAGAGGAUAUACCGUCGCAAGAAACAAGAAAAAACUCCUUUAAAUCACAUAAUAAUAUAUAUCCUGCUUUGACGAAUUUUCAAGCACACGUUUCUGACUUAACACAUCCAACUACUUACGAUCAAACAGUUAGUGCGCUUAGUGGUUAUACACCAAGUGUUUUUUCGUCUCCACUUACGAGUAGUAGAAUUUCUAUUCCUGUUACAUAUACAACACAUACUCACAGCAACCCUUUUGAAACGCACACAUCUCAACUUGUUACAAAAACGUCAGGAUCAACGCAUAAUCCCCGCACACCGAUAGACCAAAAUGAAGCCAUUAAAACUACCAUAACUUACGCC
This 706-nucleotide unclassified non-coding RNA is filed under the name Melitaea cinxia (Glanville fritillary). RNAcentral's name for it is "misc RNA ENSMCXG00005008504.1". The record is from RNAcentral. Lineage: Eukaryota; Metazoa; Arthropoda; Insecta; Lepidoptera; Nymphalidae.